CUCGCCAUGGCGUUCGAUCCGUAACGUGGUCUGAGAGGAUGAUCAAGUCACACUGGAACUGAGACACGGUCCAGACUCCUACUGGAGGCAGCAGUGGGAAUAUUGGACAAUGGGCGAAAGCCUGAUCCACUCAUGCCGCGUGUGUGAAGAAGGUCUUCGGAUUGUAAAGCACUUUAAGUUGGGAGGAAGGGCAGUUACCGUAAUACGUAAUUGUUUUGACGUUACCGACAGAAUAAGCACCGGCUAACUCUGUGCCAGCAGCCGCGGUAAUACAGAGGGUGCAAGCGUUAAUCGGAAUUACUGGGCGUAAAGCGCGCGUAGGUGGUUUGUUAAGUUGAAUGUGAAAUCCCCGGGCUCAWCCUGGGAACUGCAUGCCAAAACUGGCAAGCUAGAGUAUGGU
Molecule: ribosomal RNA, 400 nt
Filed under: Pseudomonas sp. Z66
Lineage: Bacteria; Pseudomonadati; Pseudomonadota; Gammaproteobacteria; Pseudomonadales; Pseudomonadaceae
Description: bacterial SSU rRNA
Rfam family: Bacterial small subunit ribosomal RNA
Source: RNAcentral